GACGCUCAUGGACGAAAGCCAGGGGAGCGAAAGGGAUUAGAUACCCCUGUAGUCCUGGCCGUAAACGAUGAACACUAGGUGUCGGGGGAAUCGACCCCCCUCGGUGUCGUAGCCAACGCGUUAAGUGUUCCGCCUGGGGAGUACGCACGCAAGUGUGAAACUCAAAGGAAUUGACGGGGGCCCGCACAAGCGGUGGAGUAUGUGGUUUAAUUCGAUGCAACGCGAAGAACCUUACCAGGAUUUGACAUCCUGCGAACCUCUUAGAAAUUUGAGGGUGCCUUCGGGAACGCAGUGACAGGUGGUGCAUGGCUGUCGUCAGCUCGUGUCGUGAGAUGUUGGGUUAAGUCCCGCAACGAGCGCAACCCACGUUUUUAGUUGCCAGCAUUUAGUUGGGCACUCUAGAAAGACCGCCGGUGAUAAACCGGAGGAAGGUGUGGAUGACGUCAAGUCAUCAUGCCCCUUACAUCCUGGGCUACACACGUACUACAAUGCUACGGACAAAGGGCAGCAAACUCGCGAGAGCAAGCAAAUCCCAUAAACCGUGGCUCAGUUCAGAUCGUAGGCUGCAACUCGCCUACGUGAAGUAGGAAUCGCUAGUAAUCGCAGGUCAGCAUACUGCGGUGAAUACGUUCCCGGGCCUUGUACACACCGCCCGUCACACCAUGGAAGUUGGCCAUGCCCGAAGUCGUUACUCCAACCCUUGUGGAGGAGGACGCCGAAGGUGGGGCUAAUGACUGGGGUGAAGUCGUAACAAGGUAACC
RNAcentral lists this ribosomal RNA (761 nucleotides) under uncultured cyanobacterium. Its description in RNAcentral is "bacterial SSU rRNA". It matches the Rfam family "Bacterial small subunit ribosomal RNA", at positions 742 to 1501 of the family's 1533-position model. Lineage: Bacteria; Bacillati; Cyanobacteriota. The record is from RNAcentral.